CGAGCGAGACGCACUAAAGCGAAGGCACUUGCCAAGAGUGUUUUCAUUAAUCAAGAACGAAAGUCAGAGGUUCGAAGGCGAUUAGAUACCGCUUUAGUUUUGACCGUAAACGCUGCCAACUGUCGAUUCGUUUGUGGAUUUUAUUCAUAAGCGAGGAGAUUCUCGGAAACGAAAGUUUUUCGGUUCCGGGGGAAGUAUGGUUGCAAAACUGAAACUUAAAGGAAUUGACGGAAGGGCACCACCAGGAGUGGAGCUUGCGGCUUAAUUUGACUCAACACGGGGAAACUCACCCGGCCAGUACAUUGUAAGGAUUGACAGAUCGAUAGCUCUUUCAUGAUUCGGUGAAUGGUGGUGCAUGGCCGUUCUUAGUUCGUGGAUUGAUUUGUCUGGUUUAUUCCGAUAACGAGCGAGACUUUGACUAUUAAAUAGUGCUUCUGUUAUUAAUGCAGUUGUACACUUCUUAAAAGAAUUUGGGGUUUCCAACCUCAAGAGAUUGAGCAAUAACAGGUCUGUGAUGCCCUUAGAUGUUCGGGGCCGCACGCGUGCUACAAUGAUGGUAGCAACGUGAUUGUCCGGUUUCGUAAGGAAUUGGCAAACAGUUGAGAUAUUAUUAUGGCUGGAAUUGAGAUUUGAAAUUAUUUCUCAUGAACGAGGAAUUCCAAGUAAAUGCGAGUCAUCAACUCGCAUUGAUUACGUCCCUGCCCUUUGUACACACCGCCCGUCGCUGCCCGGGACUGGGUUUCCUCGAGAAAACUAGGGAUUGUUGUAGUUUAGUAUUUUCGGAUACUAGCUUCGAUGAGAACGAGUUUAAUCGCGGUGGCCUGAACCGGGAA
RNAcentral lists this ribosomal RNA (833 nucleotides) under Ektaphelenchoides fuchsi. RNAcentral describes it as "SSU rRNA". It matches the Rfam family "Eukaryotic small subunit ribosomal RNA", at positions 927 to 1784 of the family's 1831-position model. Lineage: Eukaryota; Metazoa; Nematoda; Chromadorea; Rhabditida; Aphelenchoididae. The record is from RNAcentral.